AGCGAACGCUGGCGGCAGGCCUAACACAUGCAAGUCGAACGAACCUUUCGGGGUUAGUGGCGGACGGGUGAGUAACACGUGGGAACGUGCCUUUAGGUUCGGAAUAACUCAGGGAAACUUGUGCUAAUACCGAAUGUGCCCUUCGGGGGAAAGAUUAAUCGCCUUUAGAGCGGCCCGCGUCUGAUUAGCUAGUUGGUUGAGGUAAUGGCUCACCAAGGCGACGAUCAGUAGCUGGUCUGAGAGGAUGAUCAGCCACAUUGGGACGGAGACACGGCCCAAACUCCGACGGGGGGCGGCAGUGGGGAAUUGUGCGCAAGGGGCGAAAGCCAAGCCCCGCCCUCCCGGGUGAAUGAUGAGGGUCUUAGGUUUGUAAAAUUUUUUCCCCGGGGCGGAUAGUGGCGGUCCCCGGAGAAAAACCCCCGGCUAUCUUCG
RNAcentral lists this ribosomal RNA (432 nucleotides) under uncultured bacterium. Its description in RNAcentral is "partial 16S ribosomal RNA". It matches the Rfam family "Bacterial small subunit ribosomal RNA", at positions 29 to 505 of the family's 1533-position model. The record is from RNAcentral.